Chelonia mydas (Green sea turtle) is the source of this 402-nucleotide long non-coding RNA. RefSeq lists it as uncharacterized. The transcript is spliced from 4 exons. Lineage: Eukaryota; Metazoa; Chordata; Testudines; Cheloniidae. The record is from RefSeq and is a predicted model, not a curated record.
UUGGAAUUUAUCUAGCAUCUGCUUCGGCCUUUGGAUGCUGUUAUGCUUUUGUCUGCUAGAUUAAAGACUCUCCUGUCAGAAAUCUUCUCUCCAUGCAGGCCACCAAAGUAGCUCUCCUGCAUCACCAGUGUCCUACUUUGUCUCAGACACUCAGCAUGCAGUGGGCUGGUAAUGGAAAUGCCACUCAGUCUAUACUGAAGACAGUAGUCUGCCUAUGGAGAUACUCUCAAUACCAGGGGGGAGAGACACCACCAUCAACCUGUCACUCACAAAACUCAGGAAUGAUGCGACCAAGUCAGAGCCUCAGAAACCUGCAUUCCUACUGAUGGGCAGAGGAUUUAGCAUUAGAUGAACAGACCAAAUGACGAACCAUUGCUACGGCCGACUGUCUGGCUAAGUGCU